This 304-nucleotide ribosomal RNA is filed under the name uncultured bacterium. RNAcentral's name for it is "partial 16S ribosomal RNA". It matches the Rfam family "Bacterial small subunit ribosomal RNA", at positions 506 to 807 of the family's 1533-position model. The record is from RNAcentral.
CAGCAGUAGCCGCGGGAACACGGAGGGUGCAAGCGUUAUCCGGAUUUAUUGGGUUUAAAGGGUCCGUAGGCGGACUUAUAAGUCAGUGGUGAAAGCCUGUCGCUUAACGAUAGAACUGCCAUUGAUACUGUAAGUCUUGAGAAUAUUUGAGGUAGCUGGAAUAAGUAGUGUAGCGGUGAAAUGCAUAGAUAUUACUUAGAACACCAAUUGCGAAGGCAGGUUACCAAGAUAUAACUGACGCUGAGGGACGAAAGCGUGGGUAGCGAACAGGAUUAGAGACCCGCGUAGUCCCUGUCUCUUAUAC